AUGAACGCUAGCGGCAGGCCUAAUACAUGCAAGUCGAGCGGAAUGAUGAAGAAGCUUGCUUCUUCUGAUUUUAGCGGCGGACGGGUGAGUAACACGUGGGCAACCUACCUUGUAGAUUGGGAUAACUCCGGGAAACCGGGGCUAAUACCGAAUAAUCCAUUUUGCUUCAUGGCGAGAUGUUGAAAGACGGUUUCGGCUGUCACUACAAGAUGGGCCCGCGGCGCAUUAGCUAGUUGGUAGGGUAAUGGCCUACCAAGGCGACGAUGCGUAGCCGACCUGAGAGGGUGAUCGGCCACACUGGGACUGAGACACGGCCCAGACUCCUACGGGAGGCAGCAGUAGGGAAUCUUCCACAAUGGACGAAAGUCUGAUGGAGCAACGCCGCGUGAGUGAAGAAGGUUUUCGGAUCGUAAAACUCUGUUGUAAGGGAAGAACACGUACGAGAGUAACUGCUCGUACCUUGACGGUACCUUAUUAGAAAGCCACGGCUAACUACGUG
RNAcentral lists this ribosomal RNA (499 nucleotides) under uncultured bacterium. RNAcentral describes it as "bacterial SSU rRNA". It matches the Rfam family "Bacterial small subunit ribosomal RNA", at positions 29 to 507 of the family's 1533-position model. The record is from RNAcentral.